CGCGCAGGCGGCCAAGUCAGUCGAAUGUGAAAGCCCCCGGCUCAACUGGGGAAGGUCGUUCGAUACUGCCUGGCUCGAAGAUAGGAGAGGGAAGUGGAAUUUCAGGUGUAGUGGUGAAAUGCGUAGAUAUCUGAAGGAACACCAGUGGCGAAGGCGACUUUCUGGCCUAUUCUUGACGCUGAGGCGCGAAAGCUAGGGGAGCGAAC
RNAcentral lists this ribosomal RNA (206 nucleotides) under uncultured bacterium. RNAcentral's name for it is "partial 16S ribosomal RNA". It matches the Rfam family "Bacterial small subunit ribosomal RNA", at positions 568 to 773 of the family's 1533-position model. The record is from RNAcentral.